AACGAACGCUGGCGGCAUGCCUAACACAUGCAAGUCGAACGAGACCUUCGGGUUUAGUUGCGCACGGGUGCGUUACGCGUGGGAACCUUCCCUUAGGUUCGGAAUAACUCCCCGAAAGGGGUGCUAAUAACGGAUAAUGUCUUCGGACCAAAGAUUUAUCGCCUUUGGAUGGGCCCGCGUUGGAUUUGCUAUUUGGUAGGGUAAAAGCCUACCAAGGCGACGCUCCAUAGCUGGUCUGAGAGGAUGAUCAGCCACACUGGGACUGAGACACGGCCCAGACUCCUACGAGAGGCAGCAGUGGGGAAUAUUGGACAAUGGGCGAGAGCCUGAUCCAGCAGUGCCGCGUGAGUAAUGAAGGCCUUAGGGUUGUAAAGCUCUUUUACCCGGGAAGAUAAUGACAGUACCGGGAGAAUAAGCUCCGGCUAACUCCGUG
RNAcentral lists this ribosomal RNA (433 nucleotides) under uncultured bacterium. RNAcentral's name for it is "partial 16S ribosomal RNA". It matches the Rfam family "Bacterial small subunit ribosomal RNA", at positions 29 to 507 of the family's 1533-position model. The record is from RNAcentral.